This 497-nucleotide ribosomal RNA is filed under the name uncultured bacterium. RNAcentral's name for it is "partial 16S ribosomal RNA". It matches the Rfam family "Bacterial small subunit ribosomal RNA", at positions 28 to 507 of the family's 1533-position model. The record is from RNAcentral.
GAUGAACGCUGGCGGCGUGCCUAAUACAUGCAAGUCGAGCGAACGGACGAGAAGCUUGCUCUUCUGAUGUUAGCGGCGGACGGGUGAGUAACACGUGGAUAACCUACCUAUAAGACUGGGAUAACUUCGGGAAGCCGGAGCUAAUACCGGAUAAUAUUUUGAACCGCAUGGUUCAAUAGUGAAAGACGGUUUUGCUGUCACUUAUAGAUGGAUCCGCGCUGCAUUAGCUAGUUGGUAAGGUAACGGCUUACCAAGGCGACGAUGCCUAGCCGACCUGAGAGGGUGAACGGCCACACUUGAACUGAGAAACGGUCCAGACUACUAAGGGAAGCCGCAGUAGGGAAUCUUCCGCAAUGGGCGAAAGCCUGACGGAGCAACGCCGCGUGAGUGAUGAAGGUCUUCGGAUCGUAAAACUCUGUUAUUAGGGAAGAACAAAUGUGUAAGUAACUAUGCACUUCUUGACGGUACCUAAUCAGAAAGCCACGGCUAACUACGUG